UACGGGGGGGGCAAGCGUUGUUCGGAAUUACUGGGCGUAAAGGGCGCGUAGGCGGUUUGUUAAGUCGGUGGUGAAAUCCUGGAGCUCAACUCCAGAACUGCCUUCGAUACUGAGAGUCUCGAGUCCGGGAGAGGUGAGUGGAACUGCGAGUGUAGAGGUGAAAUUCGUAGAUAUUCGCAAGAACACCAGUGGCGAAGGCGGCUCACUGGCCCGGUACUGACGCUGAGGUGCGAAAGCGUGGGGAGCAAACAGG
Molecule: ribosomal RNA, 253 nt
Filed under: uncultured bacterium
Lineage: Bacteria
Description: partial 16S ribosomal RNA
Rfam family: Bacterial small subunit ribosomal RNA
Source: RNAcentral